GAUGAACGCUGGCGGCGUGCCUAAUACAUGCAAGUCGAGCGAACAGACGAGGAGCUUGCUCCUUCGACGUUAGCGGCGGACGGGUGAGUAACACGUAGGUAACCUACCUAUAAGACUGGGAUGACUUCGGGAAACCGGAGCUAAUACCGGAUAAUAUUUCGAACCGCAUGGUUCGAUAGUGAAAGAUGGCUUUGCUAUCACUUAUAGAUGGACCUGCGCCGUAUUAGCUAGUUGGUAAGGUAACGGCUUACCAAGGCAACGAUACGUAGCCGACCUGAGAGGGUGAUCGGCCACACUGGAACUGAGACACGGUCCAGACUCCUACGGGAGGCAGCAGUAGGGAAUCUUCCGCAAUGGGCGAAAGCCUGACGGAGCAACGCCGCGUGAGUGAUGAAGGUCUUCGGAUCGUAAAACUCUGUUAUUAGGGAAGAACAAACGUGUAAGUAACUGUGCACGUCUUGACGGUACCUAAUCAGAAAGCCACGGCUAACUACGUG
Molecule: ribosomal RNA, 497 nt
Filed under: uncultured bacterium
Lineage: Bacteria
Description: partial 16S ribosomal RNA
Rfam family: Bacterial small subunit ribosomal RNA
Source: RNAcentral